UGUGAAUGUCAGUGGCAUGGAGAAAGGUGAAGUGGGAAGAAAGACAUGGCUUUGAAGGUGAUCGGUCAUUAGGCUCCCAACCGGGGGUUCAAAGACAAAUUAAUGCAGAGCAUUGUGCCGGCAUAGCUGUGUGAGGGAGACUCGGGCGGGAGGGGGCUCUAGGUGCGGUACGGGCGUAGAUGCGUGAGGGAGACUCGGGCGGGAGGGGGCUCUAGGUGCGGUACGGGCGUAGAUGCGUGAGGGAGACUCGGGCGGGAGGGGGUUCUAGGUGCGGUACGGGCGUAGAUGCGUGAGGGAGACUCGGGCGGGAGGGGGCUCUGGGUGCGGUACGGGCGUAGAUGCGUGAGGGAGACUCGGGCGGGAGGGGGCUCUGGGUGCGGUACGGGCGUAGAUGCGUGAGGGAGACUCGGGCGGGAGGGGGCUCUAGGUGCGGUACGGGCGUAGAUGCGUGAGGGAGACUCGGGCGGGAGGGGGCUCUGGGUGCGGUACGGGCGUAGAUGCGUGAGGGAGACUCGGGCGGGAGGGGGCUCUAGGUGCGGUACGGGCGUAGAUGCGUGAGGGAGACUCGGGCGGGAGGGGGCUCUAGGUGCGGUACGGGCGUAGAUGCGUGAGGGAGACUCGGGCGGGAGGGG
Molecule: long non-coding RNA, 632 nt
Organism: Brienomyrus brachyistius
Lineage: Eukaryota; Metazoa; Chordata; Actinopteri; Osteoglossiformes; Mormyridae
Exons: 3
Source: RefSeq, a predicted model, not a curated record